This is a long non-coding RNA of Notothenia coriiceps (black rockcod), 367 nucleotides long. RefSeq lists it as uncharacterized. The transcript is spliced from 2 exons. The record is from RefSeq and is a predicted model, not a curated record. NCBI's taxonomy places the organism in Eukaryota, Metazoa, Chordata, Actinopteri, Perciformes, Nototheniidae.
UUGGAGGAAAAGAGAGAGGGUUGUGUUUUCUGACACUUGGUGGUGGAGAAGGAUCUUCCUCGAUACUUGUAAAUGGAUGAUUGAUGCCUCACUUACUGAAACUCUAUCAUAUAUGCUCCUUUCUCUGGCUCUCUCUGGCACCAGUGGAUAAAGUUUAGGUUUCCCCCCAGACCAGUGACGGCCUGUUCAUAAACCCGCACGGCGGACAGAGCAGACCUGAUGAAAAUGGCGUGCAAACCUGCUUGGAAGAAAACCAGACUUGCUUUCAUUUGGUUCUAGAGAGAGAAGGGGAAAGGACCCUCUGUUAACAGUUUCAUGUGUGGCAUUGUUUUCAUAAUAAAUUGCACUAAAUGUUGCCCUAAUGACA